This 227-nucleotide ribosomal RNA is filed under the name uncultured organism. RNAcentral describes it as "partial 18S ribosomal RNA". It matches the Rfam family "Eukaryotic small subunit ribosomal RNA", at positions 1205 to 1456 of the family's 1831-position model. The record is from RNAcentral.
GCGGGAAAACUCACCCGGCCCGGACACUGUAAGGAUUGACAGAUUGAUAGCUCUUUCUUGAUUCAGUGGGUGGUGGUGCAUGGCCGUUCUUAGUUGGUGGAGCGAUUUGUCUGGUUAAUUCCGAUAACGAACGAGACUCUAGCCUGCUAAAUAGUCUGCAGAUCGCACAGUCUGCAGUACUUCUUAGAGGGACAAGCGGCAUUUAGCCGCACGAAAAUGAGCAAUAA